This is a non-coding RNA of Arachis ipaensis, 662 nucleotides long. The record is from RefSeq and is a predicted model, not a curated record. NCBI's taxonomy places the organism in Eukaryota, Viridiplantae, Streptophyta, Magnoliopsida, Fabales, Fabaceae.
CCUAGCACCGCUCCUCACUCUCUACCAGCGAAGAAACCUCAAGGCUCAAGCCCCACUACCCCAGCCGAACCCCUUCCUCCCAACAGCGUCGUCCUCCACCGUCCACAGCACCGUCGCCGACUCGCGGGCAGCAGCACAGUGGACAACAUCCUCAUGGACGGCACCCACAGCAGCCUUUUGCGUCAUUGCCGACAGCACCCAGCCACCCACAGCACCGUUUUCUCCCUCACAGACAGCACCCAGCACCCACAACACCGUCUCCUCCACGCCGAGUUUAUGGAGCCUCCGAGCCAGGUUGGGGAGAUUAUUAGCAGAUUUGAGAAGAAGAGAUUUUAAUUGAAAAUGUAACUUCUUUUGUUUUUGUUACUACUUAACACACGUGCUAACAAUUUAGCUUAGAAACUCCACAAAUUUUUAGCCUUAUGUCGAAAGGCACUAUGCUGACUUAUCUACAAAGCAUUUCUUUAAUAAAUUGGUCUAAUACAUUAUCUCUGGUUCUAUUGUUGCCAUGGUCUGGGAGGGUAAAGGUAUUGUUGCAACUGGCCAAAAGUUGAUUGGAGCAACAAAUCCCUUAGCAUCUGAGCGUGGAACUAUCCAUGGUUACUUCGCCAUUGCAUUGGAAGAUUGGUUUGCUUAAAGAAGUUUCAUUGUUUUGUUGGAGA